GGGCACUUGGCACAGUGGUAGCGCGCACGCUUCGCAUCUUGAAUUGCCUGCGUGAGGUCGGGAGUUCAAUCCUCCCAGUGUCCA
RNAcentral lists this transfer RNA (84 nucleotides) under Phanerochaete carnosa HHB-10118-sp. It matches the Rfam family "tRNA". From Rfam's summary of the family: Transfer RNA (tRNA) molecules are approximately 80 nucleotides in length. The record is from Rfam by way of RNAcentral. Lineage: Eukaryota; Fungi; Basidiomycota; Agaricomycetes; Polyporales; Phanerochaetaceae.